CGCCAGAAUACUACGAGCAACAGCUUAAAACUCAAAGGACUUGGCGGCGCUCUACACCCCCCUAGAGGAGCCUGUUCUAUAAUCGACAAUCCCCGAUAAACCUCACCAUCUAUUGCUAAUACAGCCUAUAUACCACCGUCCAGCCCACCCUUUAAAGGGAAAACAGUAGGCAUAACUAUACACAUAAAAACGUCAGGUCAAGGUGUAGCACAUGAGAUGGGAAGAAAUGGGCUACAUUUUUUAACCUAAAAAACACGGAAAAGUUUGUGAAACAAAACUAUAAAGGAGGAUUUAGUAGUAAAGAGAAAAAAGAGUGUUCUUUUUAAACCGGCAAUGGAGCGCGCACACACCGCCCGUCACCCU
RNAcentral lists this ribosomal RNA (363 nucleotides) under Ichthyosaura alpestris (Alpine newt). RNAcentral describes it as "partial 12S ribosomal RNA". It matches the Rfam family "Bacterial small subunit ribosomal RNA", at positions 870 to 1403 of the family's 1533-position model. The record is from RNAcentral. Lineage: Eukaryota; Metazoa; Chordata; Amphibia; Caudata; Salamandridae.